RNAcentral lists this long non-coding RNA (1282 nucleotides) under Nicotiana tabacum (common tobacco). Its description in RNAcentral is "long non-coding RNA (NTAB_LNC003734)". Lineage: Eukaryota; Viridiplantae; Streptophyta; Magnoliopsida; Solanales; Solanaceae. The record is from RNAcentral.
CACCACAAAAACCAUUCUUCAUAUACUACAUCCAAUUUUAAUAUUCUAUAGAUUUCAAUGUCUAGCAUUUUCAAGAUUAUUGGGUUCGAGAAGAGAAGGUCGUCGUGUUUAGAUGGAGAUGAUGGGUAUGAUUAUGCCCCAGCAGCAUGCUUAGAAGGAGGUGGUGACGACGAUGAUGGAGACUAUGACUAUGCUCCUGCUGCAUAAAUUCAUUGAAGAUUAUUGGCAAUGGAAAAUCUAAAGUAGACGUAGCGUGUUUGGUCAAACUCAGUGCUGCUUCUAAUGCAUACAUGAGAAAGAAGUAGGGAUCUUGGUUUUACUUAAUCCUAGUAUUCUUUUUUUUUUUAGCAAUACAUAGUUUAAUAUAUUAAUUAAAACUUUGAGCAGCUAAGGGGCGUUAGGGACUAUGAAAUCACUUGCUUAUUAGAUGUACCUUUUUUUCUAUUGACAAUAUUAAUUUUGAAUAACUUAUGCAGAAGAGUGACAUGAAGUAUACUUUAACGUAGUCUCACUUGAUGAUGUGAUCGAGUUCAUAUCCCAUAUACAUUGCUCUAUUAGUCUAUUCUUAGUUGUCAAUAUAAACUCCUAUCACUGAGCUAGGAAUUUCAGUGAGAUAGGUAAAGACUUUUGACCAGAGGUGAAUUUAGGAUUUGAAUUUUACGGCUUUAACCUCUAAAUAUUUUAGUAUUGAACUCAUUAUAUUGUUAAAGUUAUGAGUUCAUAUAUACUAUUUGUUCCUACUUUAAAUAAUUUUUACAUAUAAAUUUAUGUUUCGCGUUGAAAGCACUGAGUUCAGUUGAACCCAGAGGCAGAUCCAGGAUUUAAAUCUUAUGGGUUCAAUUUUAAGGGCUUUUAACAUUGAACCCAUUGUAUUUUUAAAUUUAUGGGUUCAUAUCUACUAUUUUGCAAUUUUAAUAAAUUUUUACAUACAAAUUUUUACUUCGCGUCGAAAGUUAUGGAUUCAGUUGAACCCGUAGGUUAUACGCUGCAUCCGCCCAUGGUUGAACCCGGCACUGCUAUGCUGGAUCCGCCCCUGCUCUUGACAUAUGAUUCACAGCUCCCAUCUUAGCAAGCACAUCUGCAGCCAUAUUUGCUUCCCUGAAGCAAUGUUGAACGUUGACAUUGAGCUUUGAGACUUUAUCUUGUAUCGAUCAUCUUCUCUGGGAUAAAAUCUUGUGAAUAUUCUAUUUUAAAUCCAAUGUCAAACGAAUGUUGUAAAGGAAGAGGAACGGUCAUGACGAAUCGAUGACUUUUCUUUAUUAGGUCAUUUUUAUGGGCCCGC